AGGAAAACGGAAUGAAAAGCCUGGUGCUUGCACCGGGUGGAUUAGUGGCGAACGGGUGAGUAUCACGUGAGUAACCUGCCCUUGACUCUGGGAUAAGCCUGGGAAACUGGGUCUAAUACCGGAUACGACCAGUCCUCGCAUGGGGUGCUGGUGGAAAGAUUUAUCGGUCUUGGAUGGACUCGCGGCCUAUCAGUUUGUUGGUGAGGUAAUGGCUCACCAAGGCGAUGACGGGUAGCCGGCCUGAGAGGGUGACCGGCCACACUGGGACUGAGACACGGCCCAGACUCCUACGGGAGGCAGCAGUGGGGAAUAUUGCACAAUGGGCGCAAGCCUGAUGCAGCGACGCCGCGUGCGGGAUGACGGCCUUCGGGUUGUAAACCGCUUUCAGCAGGGAAGAAGCUUUUUGUGACGGUACCUGCAGAAGAAGCGCCGGCUAACUACGUGCCAGCAGCCGCGGUAAUACGUAGGGCGCGAGCGUUAUCCGGAAUUAUUGGGCGUAAAGGGCUCGCAGGCGGUUUGCCGCGUCUGCUGUGAAAGCCCGGGGCUUAACUCCGGGUGUGCAGUGGGUACGGGCAGACUAGAGUGCAGUAGGGGAGACUGGAAUUCCUGGUGUAGCGGUGAAAUGCUCAUAUAUCACGAAGAACACCGAUGGCGAAGGCAGGUCUCUGGGCCUGUUACU
Molecule: ribosomal RNA, 679 nt
Filed under: Nesterenkonia sp. SRUMSU6
Lineage: Bacteria; Bacillati; Actinomycetota; Actinomycetes; Micrococcales; Micrococcaceae
Description: bacterial SSU rRNA
Rfam family: Bacterial small subunit ribosomal RNA
Source: RNAcentral